UACAGGGGUCCCAAGCGUUGUCCGGAUUCACUGGGUUUAAAGGGAGCGUAGGUGGGCAUUUAAGUCAGUGGUGAAAUCCUGGAGCUUAACUCCAGAACUGCCAUUGAUACUAUUUGUCUUGAAUAUUGUGGAGGUAAGCGGAAUAUGUCAUGUAGCGGUGAAAUGCUUAGAUAUGACAUAGAACACCAAUUGCGAAGGCAGCUUGCUACACGGUCAUUGACACUGAGGCACGAAAGCGUGGGGAGCAAACAGG
RNAcentral lists this ribosomal RNA (253 nucleotides) under uncultured bacterium. RNAcentral describes it as "partial 16S ribosomal RNA". It matches the Rfam family "Bacterial small subunit ribosomal RNA", at positions 524 to 776 of the family's 1533-position model. The record is from RNAcentral.